Molecule: ribosomal RNA, 465 nt
Filed under: uncultured bacterium
Lineage: Bacteria
Description: partial 16S ribosomal RNA
Rfam family: Bacterial small subunit ribosomal RNA
Source: RNAcentral
CUACGGGGGGCUGCAGUGGGGAAUAUUGGACAAUGGGGGAAACCCUGGUCCAGCAAUGCCGCGUGUGUGAAGAAGGCCUGCGGGUUGUAAAGCACUUUCGGUUGGGAGGACUGCUUCUAGCACUAAUAUUGUUGGAAGUUGACGUUACCUUCAGAAGAAGCACCGGGUAACUCCGUGCCAGCGGCCGCGGUAAUACGGAGGGUGCAAGCGUUAAUCGGAAUUACUGGGCGUAAAGCGCGCGUAGGCGGCUAGAUCAGUCGGGUGUGAAAGCCCCGGGCUUAACCUGGGAACUGCAUCCGAUACUGUCUAGCUUGAGUACAGGAGAGGAGAGUGGAAUUCCACAUGUAGCGGUGAAAUGCGUAGAUAUGUGGAGGAACACCAAUGGCGAAGGCAGCUCUCUGGCCUGAUACUGACGCUGAGGUGCGAAAGCGUGGGGAGCAAACAGGAUUAGAUACCCCCGUAGUC